AACUGUUAAAAGCUACAUAUCUUGUAAGCAGGUGAACUUAUUAAUGAUCUUAUGACACUAUACAAGGCUAUACAACACUAUCCAAUGUUAUAAAAGACUAUACAACACUACUGUAUAUAAGGCUAUACAAGACUAUACGACACUAUACAGCGUUAUACAAGACUAUACGACACUAUACAAGAGUAUACAACACUUACGACACUACACAAUAAUAUACAAGGCUAUACGACACUAUACAACACUAUAUAACGUUAUACAAGACUAUAUAACAACAUAUAAAGGCUAUACGACACAAUAUGACACUAUACAACGUUAUACAAAACUAUACAACAAUAUAUAAGGUUAUACGACAC
Paramuricea clavata is the source of this 353-nucleotide non-coding RNA. The record is from the annotation of a GenBank genome assembly. NCBI's taxonomy places the organism in Eukaryota, Metazoa, Cnidaria, Anthozoa, Malacalcyonacea, Plexauridae.